RNAcentral lists this long non-coding RNA (573 nucleotides) under Monodelphis domestica (gray short-tailed opossum). RNAcentral describes it as "lncRNA (ENSMODG00000031074.2)". Lineage: Eukaryota; Metazoa; Chordata; Mammalia; Didelphimorphia; Didelphidae. The record is from RNAcentral.
UGAUGAUUAUGAUAUGAAAUAAGUAAUCUUUUUAUCUCCCCCAAUACCUGGCAUGUUACUAUGAAUACAGGAGGUACCUACUAAGUUAUUAAUUGAGUUGACUUACACAUAGGAAUGAAUGAGUGAAUUAAUGAGCAUGAUUUGUCAUGUCUAACAUAUCUCUUGUGAACCGGCAAUCUUCCAUAACCCAUAUGGGAUGAUUCGAUUAAGGUUUCGUCAAGGAAAUCAGGAAACUACCAUAAUGAUGAGAAUUAGCCUGAGCAGAGGAGGAUGCAUGAAACAAGAGGACUGGGAAGUUAGCCUUAAAGGCAAAUGGGCAUGGCGAGGUCUCCUCUUUGGGCAGGGCGAUUGUGAAUUUUCAGGACCAUGGUCUUGGGGACAAGGCAGGAUUACGGAUGGCAUCAAUUCACGUGAAGCAAUACAGAACAAUGGAAAGAGCCACAGGAUUUAGAAUCACAAGACUUGGGUUCAAUUCAAGAUUGAUAUGCAUUGGCUUUAUGAACUUGGGUAAGUCCAUUGAUUUUAUUGGACGCCAGUUUCCUCAUCUAUAAAAUGGGCAGAAUUGAACUAAAU